Molecule: ribosomal RNA, 539 nt
Filed under: Trigonopterus sp. 863 AR-2022a
Lineage: Eukaryota; Metazoa; Arthropoda; Insecta; Coleoptera; Curculionidae
Description: partial large subunit ribosomal RNA
Rfam family: Bacterial large subunit ribosomal RNA
Source: RNAcentral
GGCCUAUUGAUUUAAAUAUUAGGUCUGACCUGCCCAAUGAUGAGUUGAAUGGCCGCGGUAUAUUGACCGUGCAAAGGUAGCAUAAUCAUUAGUUUUUUAAUUGAAAGCUAGAAUGAAAGGUUUGAUGAGGAAAAUUCUGUCUCUUUAAAAAUUAAUUAGAACUUUAUUUUUAAGUAAAAAAGCUUAGAUUUAAAUGGAAGACGAGAAGACCCUAUAGAGUUUAAUAUUUUACUUAAUUUAGAAGUCUAGGUUUAUAAAAUUUUAAAUUUUUUUAAAAUAUUUUGCUGGGGUGAUAGAAAAAUUAGUUAAACUUUUUUUAAUUGAUUAAUUCAUUGAUUUAUGAGCAGAUGAUCCUUAUUUAGAGAUUAAAAGAAUAAAUUACCUUAGGGAUAACAGCGUAAUUUUUUACAGAGUUCAAAUCGAAUAAAAAGAUUGCGACCUCGAUGUUGGAUUAAAAUAAAUAGUUGGCGCAGAAGUUGAUUAAUUAGGUCUGUUCGACCUUUAAAAUUUUACAUGAUCUGAGUUUAAACCGGCGUGAG